CACAGCUGUCUGUGCGGGUCGCUACAAUACUAAUACUUCUGUUGUUAGAGCUACUAAUAAUGACUCACCACAAAGUUAAACUUCAGACUUCUUCAGGAUAUAGUUUUGACAGGCUACUGAGUACUUGCGAGAAAGAUAAUCGUAAAGGUAACGUUAGCUGUAUUUCAUCGCGGAUUUCGUUACACAGUUGUCUAUUUAGGUGAAUUAAGGAAGAAUGGAUAACGAUCACACCCUUGCUUUCCGCUGGGAGCCCUCUGGUGCCCAUCUGAAGAGGCUGCCAGGGUUGCCAGGACCAUCCAGGAGGAACAGUGUACAGGUGUAGUCUGGGUGCUGAAGCCACGACAAGUGAAGGAGAAGAAAAGGCUUGUGUGGUAGCCAGAGAGGGUGACCCAGAUGAUAGCUGACUUGUGGACAGUGAGAGUGCCAUCCAGUUCGGCAAAUACCYUGGUCAAACCUUCAAGUGGCUGCUAAGCCACGAUGUAGGCUAUGCCUUCAUGGUCUUGGCUUCUCACCAGCAAGAGAGGGAGAUGGGGGACACAGACAUGUCUCCUGAAAUGGUCAACAAGGACCGGUUUCACUGGUAUACCAACCUGUUUCCUGAGGUCCAGAGGGCAGUGGAGGAAUGCAGGGUACGGGAUUGGACCUUGCCCCCCCGAUCUGACCAGGAGGACUCGCGCCUUGUUGGCUUUGAGAACCACAAGUCCCUUACCUACAAAGAGCUUUAUGAGGCCAAAGACAAGGAGAG
Salvelinus sp. IW2-2015 is the source of this 745-nucleotide long non-coding RNA. RefSeq lists it as uncharacterized. The transcript has 3 exons. The record is from RefSeq and is a predicted model, not a curated record. Lineage: Eukaryota; Metazoa; Chordata; Actinopteri; Salmoniformes; Salmonidae.